UACCCCACCGCGUACUUGCCGGUAUAAAAACGCAAGACGCGUCCACUCUGCCUUUUUUCCGGGCGUCGUCGUUGACUUUUAAUAAACUAGAAAAGUGAGAUAUAGAACACGUGGCCGCUGACAGGGGUCUCCCUGUCGGCGGCCGCCAGCGCCAAGGUCGAGCGGGCGCCGCGAUCGCUCCCUGCCGCGCCGGCGCAGCGCUGCCGUGCUGCAGUGCUGCAAAUGCAUCCACAUUCCACCACACGUCCAUCCACGAGCAGUCGAUAAACUAUAGUUCACCCGUGAAAGCGUUCCUCUGCAGGUGGCCGCGACGUUUUUGCGGCACCACUUUCUUUGCGGCAACUUACAGAGCACGCAAUGCUUCGCCCUCAUUAACAACAACAACAAAUAAAAUUUACGCGGGAAUUUCAUCCAUCUGUAGACUGCGGCAUUGUUGAGCGUUCAUUCAUUGCGGCAGCCUACAGAGCACCAGCGACUCCGUUACAUGGACGCCGUGGAUUGUGGUCAACUCCACAACACACAGCAUAGUACUAGAGUCAUAAGCUUUUUUUUUUAGAGAAUCGGUACAUUUUUGAAAACAUUUUUUUUUUAAUGUAUGUUUUGCUGGCAACCCUCCGACAUGUUAUUUUGAAAACAUUUAGGAUUAGGUCCGUUUUUUUUUAAAUGCUAACUUUAAGUAAAAUACGUUGUGAGCACAAUUAGUAUUAGAUUAGAUUAGAUUUAUAUUUCGGGAACUCAAAUGCUACUUCAAUAAUUAUUACACUGUCCGUAGAAUUAGUUUAGUCGUUAAUGCACACAUUUGCCGGCCUCACUAGCCACUCUAGCUGUUAAGAAAUGUCACAAACUCAUAACAAAUAAAAUAAAAUAUCUUUUUAUUAUAUAAUCUUAAUAUUAAGAAUAAUUUUUUAGUUUUGUCAUAUAUACAUCUUUUAAUUAUUCUGUUAAGAAUAUUUCUAAGAUAUAAUAUGACUACUUAGUAUCCGAAAAUAAGUAACGCAUAAAUGACUACGUUACAACCGCCUACUGUACAUAUCUUCGAAUUAACUAUGGUUCUACGCAAAUAUUACAAGCCCCUGCGAUGUCACAUACUUCCCUACGUUUAUCUGUGUCGAGUUUUAGUUUUUAGUUUUUUAUUAUUUUUUUUGGUGGUGGGUUUUUUUUCAAAUAAAGUUUUUGGUUUAUUAAGCAUGA
This is a long non-coding RNA of Maniola jurtina (meadow brown), 1191 nucleotides long. RefSeq lists it as uncharacterized. The record is from RefSeq and is a predicted model, not a curated record. Lineage: Eukaryota; Metazoa; Arthropoda; Insecta; Lepidoptera; Nymphalidae. The transcript has 6 exons.